UACGUAGGUGGCAAGCGUUGUCCGGAAUUAUUGGGCGUAAAGCGCGCGCAGGCGGUUAUGUAAGUCUGAUGUUAAAGCCCGGGGCUCAACCUCGGUUCGCAUUGGAAACUGCGUAACUUGAGUGCAGAAGAGGAAAGUGGUAUUCCACGUGUAGCGGUGAAAUGCGUAGAUAUGUGGAGGAACACUAGUGGCGAAGGCGACUUUCUGGUUUGUAACUGACGCUGAGGCGCGAAAGCGUGGGGAGCAAACAGG
Molecule: ribosomal RNA, 252 nt
Filed under: uncultured bacterium
Lineage: Bacteria
Description: partial 16S ribosomal RNA
Rfam family: Bacterial small subunit ribosomal RNA
Source: RNAcentral